GACGAACGCUGGCGGCGUGCCUAAUACAUGCAAGUAGAACGCUGAAGCUUGGUGCUUGCACCGAGCGGAUGAGUUGCGAACGGGUGAGUAACGCGUAGGUAACCUGCCUGGUAGCGGGGGAUAACUAUUGGAAACGAUAGCUAAUACCGCAUAAGAGUAGAUGUUGCAUGACAUUUGCUUAAAAGGUGCAAUUGCAUCACUACCAGAUGGACCUGCGUUGUAUUAGCUAGUUGGUGAGGUAACGGCUCACCAAGGCAACGAUACAUAGCCGACCUGAGAGGGUGAUCGGCCACACUGGGACUGAGACACGGCCCAGACUCCUACGGGAGGCAGCAGUAGGGAAUCUUCGGCAAUGGACGGAAGUCUGACCGAGCAACGCCGCGUGAGUGAAGAAGGUUUUCGGAUCGUAAAGCUCUGUUGUAAGAGAAGAACGAGUGUGAGAGUGGAAAGAUCACACUGUGACGGUAUCUUACCAGAAAGGGACGGCUAACUACGUG
RNAcentral lists this ribosomal RNA (497 nucleotides) under uncultured bacterium. RNAcentral describes it as "partial 16S ribosomal RNA". It matches the Rfam family "Bacterial small subunit ribosomal RNA", at positions 28 to 507 of the family's 1533-position model. The record is from RNAcentral.